RNAcentral lists this ribosomal RNA (494 nucleotides) under uncultured bacterium. RNAcentral's name for it is "partial 16S ribosomal RNA". It matches the Rfam family "Bacterial small subunit ribosomal RNA", at positions 28 to 507 of the family's 1533-position model. The record is from RNAcentral.
GACGAACGCUGGCGGCGUGCUUAAUACAUGCAAGUCGAACGGGCAUGCGCUGUUCUUUGUGGGGUGGGUUUGUGGGGGGCGGGUGGGUUACAAGUGGGUUACCCGCCCUCCACUUCUGGAUUAACGUCUGCAAGCCAGGGUAAUUAGGGGUGAAUAUGCUGUGCCGCAUGGUGCAGUUGUGAAAGAUUGAUUUUGUUUCGGUUAUGGAUGGGCUCGCGCCCGAGCAGCUUGUUGGUGAGGUGGUGGCGUACCAAGGCUACGACGAGUAGCCGGCCUGAGAGGGUGGGCGGUCACACUGGGACUGAGAGACGGCCCAGACUCCUGCGGGCGGCAGCAGUGGGGCGUAUUGCACAAUGGGCGGAAGCCUGAUGCAGCGACGCCGCGUGAGGGAUGGAGGCCUUCGGGUUGUAAACCUCUUUCGCGGGUGAAGAAGGGCCUACUCAUUUAUGGGCGUUUUGAGGUUGCCUGGUUAGGAAGCGCCGGCUAACUACGUG